GAUGAACGCUGGCGGCGUGCCUAAUACAUGCCAGUCGAGCGAACAGACGAGGAGCUUGCUCCUCUGACGUUAGCGGCGGACGGGUGAGUAACACGUGGAUAACCUACCUAUAAGACUGGGAUAACUUCGGGAAACCGGAGCUAAUACCGGAUAAUAUAUUGAACCGCAUGGUUCAAUAGUGAAAGACGGUUUUGCUGUCACUUAUAGAUGGAUCCGCGCCGCAUUAGCUAGUUGGUAAGGUAACGGCUUACCAAGGCGACGAUGCGUAGCCGACCUGAGAGGGUGAUCGGCCACACUGGAACUGAGACACGGUCCAGACUCCUACGGGAGGCAGCAGUAGGGAAUCUUCCGCAAUGGGCGAAAGCCUGACGGAGCAACGCCGCGUGAGUGAUGAAGGUCUUCGGAUCGUAAAACUCUGUUAUUAGGGAAGAACAAAUGUGUAGUAACUAUGCACGUCUUGACGGUACCUAAUCAGAAAGCCACGGCUAACUACGUG
Molecule: ribosomal RNA, 496 nt
Filed under: uncultured bacterium
Lineage: Bacteria
Description: partial 16S ribosomal RNA
Rfam family: Bacterial small subunit ribosomal RNA
Source: RNAcentral